UCCUACGGGGGGCGGCAGUGGGGAAUUUUGGACAAUGGGGGAAACCCUGAUCCAGCCAUUCCGCGUGAGUGAAGAAGGCCUUCGGGUUGUAAAGCUCUUUCAGCUGGAAAGAAACGGUGCGCUCUAACAUAGCGUGCUAAUGACGGUACCAGCAGAAGAAGCACCGGCUAACUACGUGCCAGCAGCCGCGGUAAUACGUAGGGUGCGAGCGUUAAUCGGAAUUACUGGGCGUAAAGCGUGCGCAGGCGGAUUGUUAAGCAAGAUGUGAAAUCCCCGGGCUUAACCUGGGAAUGGCAUUUUGAACUGGCAGUCUAGAGUGUGUCAGAGGGGGGUGGAAUUCCACGUGUAGCAGUGAAAUGCGUAGAUAUGUGGAGGAACACCAAUGGCGAAGGCAGCCCCCUGGGAUAACACUGACGCUCAUGUACGAAAGCGUGGGUAGCAAACAGGAUUAGAUACCCUGGUAGUCCACGCCCUAAACGAUGUCAACUGGUUGUUGGGGGAGUGAAAUCCCUUAGUAACGAAGCUAACGCGUGAAGUUGACCGCCUGGGGAGUACGGUCGCAAGAUUAAAACUCAAAGGAAUUGACGG
This 588-nucleotide ribosomal RNA is filed under the name uncultured bacterium. Its description in RNAcentral is "bacterial SSU rRNA". It matches the Rfam family "Bacterial small subunit ribosomal RNA", at positions 337 to 916 of the family's 1533-position model. The record is from RNAcentral.